This 458-nucleotide ribosomal RNA is filed under the name uncultured bacterium. RNAcentral describes it as "partial 16S ribosomal RNA". It matches the Rfam family "Bacterial small subunit ribosomal RNA", at positions 338 to 795 of the family's 1533-position model. The record is from RNAcentral.
CCUACGGGAGACAGCAGUGAGGAAUAUUGGUCAAUGGGCGAGAGCCUGAACCAGCCAAGUCGCGUGAGGGAGUACUGCCCUAUGGGUUGUAAACCUCUUUUGUCGGGGAGCAAAAGCCGGACGUGUCCGGCUGUGAGAGUACCCGAAGAAAAAGCAUCGGCUAACUCCGUGCCAGCAGCCGCGGUAAUACGGAGGAUGCGAGCGUUAUCCGGAUUUAUUGGGUUUAAAGGGUGCGCAGGCGGAUUUUUAAGUCAGCGGUAAAAUCGUGGGGCUCAACCCCAUCCAGCCGUUGAAACUGGGGAUCUAGAGUGUGCGAGAGGUAUGCGGAAUGCGUGGUGUAGCGGUGAAAUGCAUAGAUAUCACGCAGAACCCCGAUUGCGAAGGCAGCAUACCGGUGCACAACUGACGCUCAGGCACGAAAGCGUGGGUAUCGAACAGGAUUAGAUACCCUAGUAGUC